ACUCAAAGGAAUAGACGGGGGCCCGCACAAGCGGUGGAGCAUGUGGUUCAAUUCGACGCAACGCGAAGAACCUUACCUGGGCUCGAAGCGCAGUGGAAUCCGGGCGAAAGCUCGGCGCCCGCAAGGGCCGCUGCGGAGGUGCUGCAUGGCUGUCGUCAGCUCGUGUCGUGAGAUGUUGGGUUAAGUCCCGCAACGAGCGCAACCCUUAUCCUUAGUUGCCAUGCCGAAAGGCGGCACUCUAAAGAGACUGUCGGCCACAAGCCGGAGGAAGGUGGGGAUGACGUCAAGUCCUCAUGGCCUUUAUGUCCAGGGCUACACACGUGCUACAAUGGGCGGUACAAAGCGUCGCAAACCCGCGAGGGGGAGCCAAUCGCAAAAAGCCGCUCUCAGUUCGGAUUGCAGUCUGCAACUCGACUGCAUGAAGCUGGAAUCGCUAGUAAUCGCGGAUCAGAACGCUGCGGUGAAUACGUUCCCGGGCCUUGUACACACCGCCCGU
This 496-nucleotide ribosomal RNA is filed under the name uncultured bacterium. RNAcentral's name for it is "partial 16S ribosomal RNA". It matches the Rfam family "Bacterial small subunit ribosomal RNA", at positions 899 to 1397 of the family's 1533-position model. The record is from RNAcentral.